Bactrocera dorsalis (oriental fruit fly) is the source of this 6696-nucleotide RNA transcript. It is a transcript of the gene named ATP-dependent DNA/RNA helicase DHX36, with no coding region annotated. The record is from RefSeq and is a predicted model, not a curated record. The transcript is spliced from 3 exons. NCBI's taxonomy places the organism in Eukaryota, Metazoa, Arthropoda, Insecta, Diptera, Tephritidae.
UAUUAAAACAAUAUACAAUUGAAAAAAUUAGUAUAUAUUAAUCGGAAGUACAUAUUGAUAAGUUAGAUUUUAGGAAAGCCUAUCGGUUAAUUUUUUACAUAUGGUUUUAGUUACAAAAUCUAAUAUAAUUAAAAUAAUAUGCAUACAUAAUUCGAUUAUAAAUUAAAUUUUGUUUUAGCAGGCGUUUAGAUCUAAAAAUGAAUUUUGGGACUUUCAUAAUGGUAUAAUUAAAGAUAUAUCGUUAUUCGUAAAGGGUACGUUCAAUACCUGUUAAUAAUUGACUUUUGUAUUAAGAAAGUGGCAUCACUGAUGGAUACGUACACAAUAAUCAGCUGUUUAUAACACUGUAUAACAGUCUGACUUUUUACAAAGAGAUUUGAGCGAAAUGUGCUGCUGAAAUUGAAAGAAAAUAAUUUUCUGCCAUUAAGCAUUUAAUUUAAAUUUAGUGUGCGGUAUCUGCUUUAAGCCUUUGGACAUAAACUUCGAAGUAACCUGACAUAUUGAUUGGGCUUCCAGCAAACAAUUGUAAAUUUACUUUGUUGGUGUUAUCUGGCAACGCUUACGCGAUUUUAGCCGAGUUAACAACAGCGCGCCAGUUGUUUCUUCUCUUCGCUACGUGGCGCCAAUUGGAUAUUCCAAGCGAAGCCAGGUUCUUCUCCACUUGGUCCUUCCAAUGGAGUGGAGGUAUUGCGUCGAAUACUUUCGGAGCUGGAGUGUUUUCGUCCAUCCGGACAACAUGACCUAGGCAGCGUAGCCGCUGUCUUUUAAUUCGCUGAACUAUGUCAAUGUUGUCGUAUAUCUCGUACAGCUCAUCGUUCCAUCGAAUACGAUAUUCGCCGUGGCCAAUCCGCAAAGGACCCUAAAUCUUCCGCAGAACUUUUCUCUCGAAAACUCGCAACGUCUUUUCAUCAGUUGUUGUCAUCGUCCAAGCUUCUGCACCAUAUAUGUAGCAGGACGGGAAUUAUGAGUGACUUAUAGAGUUUGGUUUUUGUUCGUCGAGAGAGAACUUUGCUUCUCAAUUGCCUACUCAGUCCGAAGUAGCACCUGUUGGCAAGAGUUAUCCUGUGUUGGAUUUCCAGGCUGACAUGGUUGGUGGUGUUUACCCUGGUUUCAAGUUAGACGAAAUUAUCUACGACUUCAAAGUUAUGACUGUCAACAAUGACGUGAGAGCCAAGUCGCGAGUGCGACGACUGUUUGUUUGAUGACAGCAGAUAUUUCGUUUUGCCCUCGUUCACUGUCAGACCCAUUUGUUUUGCUUCCUUGUCCAGUCUGGAGAAAGCAGAACUUUUGGUGUUGCUCAACGUCAGUUCACACAGCCGUAUUAGUUUUGCGGAGAUACAAAAUUCAGACAACGCGGCAAAGAGGCAACUCCUUUUCGUGCUGCCGAAAGCAGCUUUGAAAUCGACAAAGAGGUGGCGUGUGUUGAUUCUCCUUUCACGGGUUUUUUUUCAAGAUUUUUCGCAUGGUGAAUAUCUGGUCGGUUGUUGAUUUGCCAGGUCUAAUGCCGCACUGAUAAGGACCAAUCAGUUUGUUGACGGUGGGCUUUAAUCUUCGGAUAAAUAGGUUUGGCUAUUUUCAGCUUUAAGAAGUUUAGAGAGCUCUCACUAGGAUGCGAAGGAACUUCAUCUGUUUUUCCAUUCGGUUUCGAAAAUGUCAUUCAUAUCAAUAAGGUUUAUCGCAUAUGAGAAUAGAGUUGAUCAGUACUGAAAGUAAUAAAUAUGGUUAAAAAAAUAUAUAUGAUAGCCAAUUGUUAUUUACAUAUAGUUAGUGCCGUAAUCUCGCGGCUAACAUAACCAGGGUGACAUACAAAUUAAUAUUUGUUUUGAGAGAAGGGCCAUAUUGCUAAUUCUUAAGUGAAAAUGUUCUUGUUAUUUCAAAAAACUUAAUGUGUAAUUGGAAUUGUCCCGUAUAAUCCGAAAAAUGCUUAUAAUAUAUUAUAAUGCUUUGAUUGCAAGACACUAAUCCAAUUGACAAUUACAGCAGUCUAAUUAAAUUAACAUUUAAUUCCGAAUUGUAGCAUCCUUUUUCAAGUGGUCAAAUUGUAUUUAUAAUAGUAGUAAGAAAAUAGAGAGUUAUUUGAGCUUUUAAUAAAAUCCAAUACAUUUUUGAAAAGUAAAGAGUGUUAUCAUGAGGAGUAAAAAUCGAAAAAGAUUGUUGUUGUUAUUGUUGUAACGGCAUACCUACCAUAAAACGUUCUCCAAAUCGGUUGUCGACGUAUUGGGAUGUGAGUCUGUAUAUUCUCUCAUUGAAGCAUAAUAUACAUGUUAUGAAUAUAAGCGAUCAAACCUGAUUUUGUAGGUCUUAUUACAUGAAGCUUCACGCAAAUUUCAUAAUAUAUUAUCCACCUCCCCAUUUUAUACUUCAACUAUUGUUGUUAUAGCGGUAAAAAACCAAUAAUUUUGAGGUAUACUAUUGAAUUUAAAAUUCGCAUCCCUUCUGGUUAUGUCGCGGAAACGACUUUUCACAUUACAUGUUUGUCCCAUGUGUUCCGCUAUGCGUUGGGACUGUUUGAAUAUUGCCAAUAAAAAUAUAUUUAUUUGAAAUUACGGUUUAAGGUCUAAAUUAACAUUUAUUGAAUUUAAAAAAAAAUAAACGAAUUAACUUAUUAAUUCUCGGCUAUCCUUACCGAUUCGUUCGAAUGCCAUAAUUUCUGGCUGAUUAAAGAAUAAUUAACAAACAUGUUUAUUUAGUGACUAUAGUAAAUUCAAAAUAAAAAAGUCUCCUCGAAAAAUGGUGAAGAGAAGGCUGAUAAUUAACCUAAUUUAAAAUAAAAAAUAAAUAUUUGCUUACUUGUCGUUUUUUAAAAUUCUCAUGAAAUGCAAAAAACACAAAUUAACACACUGUGUAUAUUCUGUUUAUAUUGCUAACGGUGCAUGUGUGCCAAUCAAUUAAUGCGAGUAGCACUUGCACUCAUGUAUACAUAAAUACAUAUUUAUAUAUGAAUAUACAAAUAUCCAUACGAACACACUUAUGUCCAUAUUUUGGACGGAAAUGUGACCGGAAGUUAGUAAAAUUCAUAUCAAAGCAACGCAGAAAAGUCUAAAAUUACAAAAGUGGGUCGUCGCGUUGGUGGCAAUGCGAUCAAUGCGAUUCUGAAUAUUUAUUCUACCAACAAACCAAAUUUGUUAUAAUUUAACAAAAAAAGUGGCUAAUUUAACUUUCUAGUUUACCUUACUCGAGUUUUUGAGUAUAUCGAUGCAAUGAUAAAACAAAAUUUAAUUUGCGUAUUAAAAGGGCGUAAGUCACUAAAUAAGAGCUCAACACCACGUGGCUUGUGGAUACCUUCGUAAAUUAAUGAAACGUGUAUACCUAUUUGAUCGCUUCAGUCUGUUUGUUCGAUCUUUAUUUCCCCUAUAUAUAUAAACUUAUGUACAUACAUAUUUAUUUUCACGAAAUAAUUAAUAUAUGUUCCAUCUGAAAGCUGAUUUACCAAAUCAAUAUUAUACAAAUUGUUUAAAAAUGCUAAAAUAUAUAAAUUCAACAUAUUUCUCACAACACAUACUGUAUACUUGUCACCCAUAGAAGUUUUUUUUUUUUUAAAUUCCCACUAAACUACUAUUCGGCGUAUUCAACCAUAUUUGCAUAAGUUUACUAAAAAUGUAUGUGAACUCGUCGAAAAGCGCAAUAAAUGGAAACUUGUAUAACCGAAAAUAAUGAAAAAUAAUAUUGUGGUCUUGCUAUUUUUUCAGCCUACGCCAACGCAACCCUACCUAAACUAUAAGGAACAGGUUGAGAAAAAAGUCAUUAGCGAUACCCUGUAAGAAAUUUUGAACGGCAAAAUUGUGUAAAAAUUAUAGAAAUUACACUUUCAAAGCACAGCUAAUGCAACAUUAGAAAUACAAGUUUACUGUAAUUUUUCGACUCUAACCUCACCGGCUGAUUCUUGCUAAGUCUGGGUUGCUAAAAUCGAAAAUUGUUGUGCAAAUUUCCCAACACGUAGGAUUUUUAUGUUGCAAUCAAGGGGUGUGGGGGUCAAACCACAUCCAUUUACUAAAAUGACAAAAAUAUCUAUACCUGGUGGAAAAUUUCUAAUCUCAAAUUAAACCUCUUUGCUCAUGAGUCACAAAAUUUUCCUUCAAAUUUGUUGAGUAGUGUAAUUGUUAUGAUAAUUCUGUUGCAAGCUCAUAUUCAAUGGCUAAUGGGGUUUUAUGAGGGUUAUUUCGAUAAACAAUAUUAAUUCACUAAUCUAAAAAGUACACGAAUUUUGCGCAGAAAGUUGAUAUUUCGAAACACUGCCCCCGAUCGAGGCAUUUGUUUUCUCUCAGGGCGAGUUGCCAGCGUAGUACUCACGCCCUACAACUAAACAGCAUAAUUUAUUCAAUCUACAUAUUCAUAAUUCACGUGUAGUUUUAUAUGUAUCAGCUAGUAAUUUCAAAAGUUAUUACACAAAUAUUCAAAUAUCGUAAAUAAAAGAAACCUGCAUGAGUAUUUCAGCCAUAGUCUCAUGCUAAUUAGAUGCGCAGCUUCACUGGCGUGGAUAACUCAUUCAUAGUAAUGCAUUAUUGUAUUUGUUGUUGAUGUUAUUGAGUGGGUUGACCGACACAUUGCUUAUAGUCUCUUCACACGGUUUAUAAAGUGGCGUGGGCGAUAUUACAAAUGUACAUAUUUAAAUUUAUUAUGAAUGAAGUUACCUUUAAUCUAGUGUAUUCCACAUAAUUACCUAUACAAAUAUACCUAUGAGUUGCAGAUUAAAUUGUUAGUCAGGUAUAAUUUCUUGAUUAAAAAUGAAGCUAAUUAUUCAUUGUAUUGGGUCUUAAAGAUUUCAAAGCAUCAUACUUAUAUAGUUUUAUUACUGAAGAGCAGGAAGUAGUAACUCCUGAAUAGUAGCAAAUUAACACUUUGGUACUUAAAACUGUUGGCAGGGACGUUAACAAAUAUCAUAUAUUUGGUAUAAGAAACAAUAAUUCAAUAAUAAUACAAAUCUUCAGCAUCGCCUUCAAAACAGGUUCUUGAACCAAUGCAAGCAUGUUUUAAGCCUCGGCUGGAGUAGGAGAAUAGCCUCAGCUAAUUUUGGAUUUUCAGUUUCUGCUCAUUUUUUGAGCGCAAUUCGCUAGAUUCUUGGACAUUUUCGACCUCAUAUUCAUGAACAUCUCAUCACCAGUAAUGAUGCGUUUGAUGAAUGUGGCGUCCUCAGCUACCUUCUCAAGUAUAGGAUGGUUUUGAUGUUGUGACAUCAGAAAAAAAGAAAAUUCGGGACCGUUCCGCUUACGUAGACCCGACCGUUAUCAAGUUUUGCGUACUCUCCUAUACGUAUUUUUUUAAGCAUUGACACAUUUCACACCCAAAACAUUGACCUGUUCUCGUCGUAAACAAACAGCUGCCUAAUACUAAUUGACAUAUGAAGAUCAAACUUCACACGAACAUAAAAAAGCUUGUAUCAAUCUAAAAAAAAAUUACAUAUGUAUCGAUUAAUUUGUACGCGCUGUCCAAAAGGACUAGUUUUGGUCAAAUUUGAUCAUAACAUAUUGUGUCAUACAAUAUAUAUACAAUGUAUAAAUACCGUAUUUAAAUAAUUCGAUCGCGCAUUUAAGGUUUCCAUUGCCAAUUAGGUGGCCGAUAAGUCGUUGCCAACAACGAACAGCAUCAAAACAUUCGCCGAUGGCGAUGAAUGAGCAGCACUAAAAAGCUCCUAUGAAAACGUUCGACGGAAUACAGCUUUAGCUAGCCAAUAAAUGCUAAACUAAACAAAUGUAAAUGAAAUUAGCGUGAAAAGUGUCAUUGACUUCCUAAAAUACUCGCAUAAUGAAUGAUUUCUUUUUUGGCGCUGUUCUCAAUGUAUUGCACAUACGCACGCACAUACACAUACAUAUGUAUACUCGUACACACAUUGGGUACAUGCUUGCAUGUGUGCAGCUAAAGGCCAAUGCAAAGCAUACGCAGAAGCCUUUCCCAGAUUUUAAUGAAUCAAUUUUAGUUAAUGAAUGAAUGAAUGUGGAAUGUGUGAGGAGUGAAGUGGUCUAGUGUCUCAUUACCGUCUGGCAGGCGUUCAAUUUGCUCCUCAAAUAAACAAAAACCAAAAUACGAGUACAUUCGAGCGCAAACAAUUAUUUUUUGUGCAUCAUCAAAAAAGUAUGUGUGCCCAGUUGGUGAGGUGUUUUCUAAUCUGAAAGUUGUUUGCUGAUUGUGGGGGACAACCUUGUAACAAUUUACACUCAUACUCAUCUGUGGAUGUGUGUGCGUACCAUAAUUGUGUGUCACUGCACAUGUGUCCGCUGAUCAGUUUUUGUUCGCACUAUCGUGUUUAAUACAAUUCUCUUAAUGCGUGUAAUUUCUAUAAAGUCCAUUAGUUCUGGCUUACGAAUUUCGUUCUCGUUUUUCUCAGAAGCUAAGGUUGGAAGCCUAUUGAGUUAUGUAUGAGCCGAGAUUUUUUCAAAGGAAAAAUAAUUUGCUUUUCAGUUAUUGUGAGGUUGUUUGAACGAUUGCAGGCUUAGGUUGAAUAUACUUUGUAUAUGGUUUGUGUCUAAUGUUUUUAGUUUUAGAUCUUGGGGAAUUUUUUGUCCAUUGGCAACUCAUAUCCUAUAUCACUUUUGUAAUUUCUAUUUACAUCACUUACUGACUUCGCUGACAAUUUUUGUUAAGAAAAAUUUCUUGUUAGGAAAAUUUUCGUUUUGUAAAUUUUGGUAUUUUUUUUUGUUUCGCCAUUUUUCUUGUUUGAUUUACAAAAUUUAUUUGUGUGUGUACGUAAAAAUACGCUCU